AUGGGAGAGCUUGAGAUUUUUGAGACGCUAGUGGGAGUUGACUGCCACACCUUCAUCGUGACAUGGAGAAAUAACCAGAAAUUUCAGUUCAGCGUGAAUUAUCGAGCUGAAAACUCUGAGAAUACGAUAGACUGCAGUUGUGGACGAAUGCUUCGGAAAGGAUUGCCUUGCAAACACAUUCUGUAUGUGUUGGUUCAUCUUAAAAAAUCUAAAAUACCUAAGUGUUGCAUCCUUAAGAGGAUGUCGAAAGUUGCGAGAGGUGGGCUGCCUGCACAGCGAAAGAGUGACUUGUUUGGCUGGGGUUGGACAGGGGCAGAGCAGCGUGCUCGCUAUAGUCAACUUAGUAUAACAGGAGCUGAAGCUUUUCAUGUUGCUUCAAAUGAUCCAUUCGUCUAUGAUGAGUUGAUGCAGUGUCUGCAGAAUAUAAUAGCGAAGAAAAAGGUCCCUGAUGAUAAUGUUGUUGGUAGUACAAGAAAUGUGCAUGAGGAUCCACGUCAGCCGGAACAACAUGUUGAUGUCAUAGGUGAUCCCGUGAAAGUUUCCAUGAAGGGCGCCCCUAAACAGAGCAGGACAGGGCGGGCAAAUAAAGAUCCAAACGUUACAAAGAAUGGAAGACCAAAAUCAUUUUCUGAGAAAAAACCCGGUCCUCUUUGUGGCAUUUGUAAGAAAGAGGGCCAUAGACGGCAAACGUGCCCUGAGAAUGAAAAGAACCGGGCAUAA
RNAcentral lists this ribosomal RNA (720 nucleotides) under Triticum aestivum (bread wheat). Its description in RNAcentral is "partial small subunit ribosomal RNA". The record is from RNAcentral. Lineage: Eukaryota; Viridiplantae; Streptophyta; Magnoliopsida; Poales; Poaceae.